This 173-nucleotide ribosomal RNA is filed under the name Rouleina maderensis. RNAcentral's name for it is "partial 12S rRNA". Lineage: Eukaryota; Metazoa; Chordata; Actinopteri; Alepocephaliformes; Alepocephalidae. The record is from RNAcentral.
CACCGCGGUUAUACGAGAGGCCCCAGCUGAUUCUUACGGCGCAAAGAGUGGUUAUGGAAUAUAAACAACUAAAGCUGAAGUCCCCCUCCGCCGUCAUACGCACCUGGGGGCACGAAACCCUAUCACGAAAGUAGCUUUACUCAAACCCACCCGACCCCACGAUAACUGAGAUA